Molecule: ribosomal RNA, 300 nt
Filed under: uncultured prokaryote
Description: bacterial SSU rRNA
Rfam family: Bacterial small subunit ribosomal RNA
Source: RNAcentral
AGAGUUUGAUCCUGGCUCAGAUUGAACGCUGGCGGCAUGUCUUUACACAUGCAAGUCGAACGGCAGCACGGGGGCAACCCUGGUGGCGAGUGGCGAACGGGUGAGUAAUGCAUCGGAACGUAUCCUUGAGUGGGGGAUAACGCAGCGAAAGUUGUGCUAAUACCGCAUAAGCCUCGUAGAGGGAGGAAAGCGGGGGGACCCGAAAGGCCUCGCGCUGAAGGAGCGGCCGAUGUCCGAUUAGCUAGUGGUGAGGUAAAGGCUUACCAAGGCGACGAUCGGUAGCUGGUCUGAGAGGAUGAU